This 495-nucleotide ribosomal RNA is filed under the name uncultured bacterium. RNAcentral describes it as "bacterial SSU rRNA". It matches the Rfam family "Bacterial small subunit ribosomal RNA", at positions 33 to 507 of the family's 1533-position model. The record is from RNAcentral.
GUACGCUGGCGGCGUGUCUUAGCCAUGCAAGUCGAGCGGACUUAUGGGGUAACUUAUAAGUCAGCGGCGGACGGCGGAGUAACACGUAGCUAACCUACCCUCUGGACGGGGAUAACCUACCGAAAGGUGGGCUAAUACCCGAUGUAGUCAUCCUGUAUAGGGGUGAUGAAAGGUGGGCUUCUGUUUACAAGCUCAUGCUGGAGGAGGGGGCUGCGGCCUAUCAGGUAGUUGGUAGGGUAAUAGCCUACCAAGCCGAUGACGGGUAGCCGGCCUGAGAGGGUGACCGGCCCGAGGGGCACUGAGAUACGGGUCCCACUCCUACGGGAGGCAGCAGGCUAGAAAUUUGGGCAAUGGGGGAAACCCUGACCCAGUGACGCCGCGUGCAGGAAGGAGCCCUUCGGGGUGUAAACUGCUGUCGUGUAGGGAGAAGGGUACUAAGGUGAACAAUCUUAGUACUUGACGGUACUACAGGAGGAAGCCCAGGCUAACCUCGUG